This is a long non-coding RNA of Oncorhynchus tshawytscha (Chinook salmon), 1881 nucleotides long. The record is from Ensembl. NCBI's taxonomy places the organism in Eukaryota, Metazoa, Chordata, Actinopteri, Salmoniformes, Salmonidae.
CUUGGGAGUGCUAGCUGUGGAAGAUCCUGUAUGGCCAGCUAUAUCUUGGGAGUGCUAGCUGUGGAAGAUCCUGUAUGGCCAGCUAUAUCUUGGCCGGUGGUCUGUAGGGGGGCAGCUAAAAAACGUGGCUGAAGAAGAGAAACAUCAAACCCACAGAAAGAGAGGAUGCUGCUGCCGACCGUUCCACCUGGAGGAGCUCCGGAGGGUGUACAGAGGGGAGCUCCGGAGAGACAGAACCAUGCCUGCCCCCGCCAACACAGACAUAUGCCCCACCUGCAAUAAAAUUUGGAUCUCCGAUUGGACUCUACACUCACUAAAGAAUUCACCAUUAACUCAGAGGUUGAAGUCCUCAUCGGAUACGAUGGACUACCAUAAGCAAGCCCACAACAAACCUUAACCAAUACAGGAGAAACUCAAAACUGACCUUAGAUCAGCACUCGGAGACAUCACUAGAGUCAAAGCUCUGACCCGGUGACUGGGGACUGCUGAGUGUCAGUGUGACCAAGACCAAAAAUGAGCUUCCUGUGUCUGUAAGUGGAGCUAAAAUAGGUCUCUAUCUCUUCAACCUAAUAUGGAGUUUUCACUUGAUUCUUUGUUUAAAAGAAAAGAAAGCAUCUUUAAAUGUUUUUGUCGACUUUAGUCUUUCCAGGGACAGGGUUCUCUUCUUUCAAUUUGAUCAUUUUCUCUGUUUUAUACUGUCACUGUAGUUCGGAUGCAGUCCAGCCACUAAAGUGCCUUUUUAAUAUGGAAUGCUGUUCUACUCACAAUAACCUGCUGUAGAUGAUUAUGCAAAUCCUCACUCACUAUUGGUGAGUUGGUGCUUCUGCACACUUAUGUCAUUCUUAAUGUGGUCUAUAUAGAAGAUCACUGGUGGGGUGUUGAGGUGUGCAUCCCAAAUGGAAACCUAUUGUCUAUAUAGUGCUAUUUAUGGAAUAGGGUGCACUUGAUAUGGAGUAGGGUGUCAUGUGGGAUACAGUCAAGGGUUGUAACUAGGGGGAUUUAACUUGUUCUUAAUGUCAAGCACUCUACUGUAAGAGUAUGAUUAUGUCCAAUCACAAUCCAGAUUGUUUUAAUACUCCUCAACCAUUGGCUGACAGUACGUAUGAGAUAAGGCCUUCUGGAACUUCAUAACACUGCGUGUUAAAGCCUGUAUGUUGCCCGUUUAUGAUCAGUCAUUACUGUAAAAUAAGAUGUAUACUGUAUAUCAGUAAAGAAUAGGGCCGUACUAUCUAUGAAGAUGAAUAAUAAACAGUGAGACUGUUAUACUAUGUGUGUGUGUGUUUUGGAUUGCAGAGGCUGGUGGGAGGAGCUAAAGGAACGGAGUCAAACCUCUUUUCCAUAUAUUUGUGUUUGAGACCGUUCUAUUGAUUCCAUUUCAGCCAUUACAAUGAUCCUCCUACAGCUCCUCCCACCAGCCGCCUCUGAUUGGGUGUUCUAGUGAGGGGGUGGGCGCGACCGACCAAAAGGUUUGGGUGCAUUCCAGCGGCUCAUCUUUGAUGGUCACCGCCUUCCAAAGUGUGUUCCAUUAUAGGGCUAAACCAUGUGAUCAAAAGUCAUGAAGUUUUGACUUCAGUUGACUGCAAGUUUCUGCAGUUGCUCUUCAAGUUAAUCAGCCAGCGCCUGCAUUGUGGGAGUCUGUAUUGCCAACCAAUCAUUAGGGUGUAUUUGUUUGACCCACGAGAACGUGACCAAAGACCUGACUGAAACCAGAACUAACUUUGCCUUGAUUCAUGUAUACAGUAGAUAUGUACAAAUGUGAUAUUUGAGGCUCUCAUCAGUUGAUAGUUUAAUGUUCGUUCGUUCUUUUCUAAUUAUUUUUUUAUAUAUAUAUAAAUAAAUAAAAUUACAAAUUCAAGGUUAACUUUUUUUUCUCCAUUUUGC